Molecule: ribosomal RNA, 331 nt
Filed under: uncultured fungus
Lineage: Eukaryota; Fungi
Description: eukaryotic LSU rRNA
Rfam family: 5.8S ribosomal RNA (bases 1-71)
Source: RNAcentral
GUGAAUCAUCGAAUCUUUGAACGCACAUUGCGCCCUCUGGUAUUCCGGAGGGCAUGCCUGUCCGAGCGUCAUUGCUGCCCUCAAGCAUGCCCUUUUGGGUGCGCUGGCGUUGGGGCUCCUCCGCCCUCUGUGGCGGCAGGGCCCUCAAAACCAGUGGCGGGCCCGUCUGGUUGGCUCCGAGCGCAGUACCGAACGCAAGUUCUCUCUCUCGCUCUGCAGCCCCCGGUCGGUGCCCAGCCGUCAAGCCGCGCAGGCGGCCCUGCUUGCAGGACCGCCUCGCACUUUUCACAAGGUUGUCCUCGGAUCAGGUAGGAUUACCCGCUGAACUUAA